RNAcentral lists this ribosomal RNA (440 nucleotides) under uncultured bacterium. Its description in RNAcentral is "partial 16S ribosomal RNA". It matches the Rfam family "Bacterial small subunit ribosomal RNA", at positions 338 to 795 of the family's 1533-position model. The record is from RNAcentral.
CCUACGGGAGGCAGCAGUGGGGAAUAUUGCACAAUGGGGGAAACCCUGAUGCAGCGACGCCGCGUGAGUGAAGAAGUACUUCGUUACGUAAAGCUCUAUCAGCAGGGAAGAAAAUGAUGGUACCUGAGUAAUAACCCCCGGCCAACUCCGUCCCAGCAGCCGCGGUCAUACGUCGGGGGCAAGCGUUAUCCGGAUUUACUGGGUGUAAAGGGAGCGUAGACGGUGCGCCAAGUCUGGAGUGAAAUGCCGCAGCUUAACUGCGGAACUGCGUUGGAAACUGGCGAACUAGAGUGCGGGAGGGGUAAGCGGAAUUCCUAGUGUAGCGGUGAAAUGCGUAGAUAUUAGGAGGAACACCGGUGGCGAAGGCGGCUUACUGGACCGUAACUGACGUUGAGGCUCGAAAGCGUGGGGAGCAAACAGGAUUAGAUACCCUUGUAGUC